CGACUAUAUUGAGUAUAGGAGGUCCAGCCUGCCCAGUGACUACGGGUUCAACGGCCGCGGUAUUUUGACCGUGCAAAGGUAGCGCAAUCACUUGUCUCUUAAAUAGAGACCUGUAUGAAUGGCUAGACGAGGGCUUAACUGUCUCCCCCUUCCAGUCAGUGAAAUUGAUCUAUCCGUGCAGAAGCGGGUAUAAUUAUACAAGACGAGAAGACCCUUUGGAGCUUAAGGUACAAGAUUCAACCACGUUAAACAACUCUACAAAAAGCACGAACUUAGUGGUGAAUGAAAUUUUACCUUCGGUUGGGGCGACCACGGAGGAAAAAGAAGCCUCCGAGUGGACUGGGCCAAACCCCUAAAGCCAAUAGAUACAUCUAUAAGCCGCAGAACAUCUGACCAAAAAUGAUCCGACUGAAAAGCCGAUCAACGAACCAAGUUACCCUAGGGAUAACAGCGCAAUCCUCUCCCAGAGUCCAUAUCGACGAGGGGGUUUACGACCUCGAUGUUGGAUCAGGACAUCCUAAUGGUGCAGCCGCUAUUAAGGGUUCGUUUGUUCAACGAUUAAAGU
This 565-nucleotide ribosomal RNA is filed under the name Chondrostoma oxyrhynchum (Terek nase). Its description in RNAcentral is "partial 16S ribosomal RNA". It matches the Rfam family "Bacterial large subunit ribosomal RNA", at positions 1831 to 2594 of the family's 2925-position model. The record is from RNAcentral. Lineage: Eukaryota; Metazoa; Chordata; Actinopteri; Cypriniformes; Leuciscidae.